This 429-nucleotide ribosomal RNA is filed under the name Chloroflexota bacterium. RNAcentral's name for it is "Chloroflexi bacterium partial 16S ribosomal RNA". It matches the Rfam family "Bacterial small subunit ribosomal RNA", at positions 355 to 776 of the family's 1533-position model. The record is from RNAcentral. Lineage: Bacteria; Bacillati; Chloroflexota.
UGGGGAAUAUUGCACAAUGGGCGCAAGCCUGAUGCAGCCAUGCCGCGUGUAUGAAGAAGGCCUUCGGGUUGUAAAGUACUUUCAGCGGGGAGGAAGGGAGUAAAGUUAAUACCUUUGCUCAUUGACGUUACCCGCAGAAGAAGCACCGGCUAACUCCGUGCCAGCAGCCGCGGUAAUACGGAGGGUGCAAGCGUUAAUCGGAAUUACUGGGCGUAAAGCGCACGCAGGCGGUUUGUUAAGUCAGAUGGGAAAUCCCCGGGCGCAACCUGGGAACUGCAUCUGAUACUGGCAAGCUGGAGUCUCGUAGAGGGGGGUAGAAAUACAGGUGUAGCGGUGAAAUGCGUAGAGAUCUGGAGGAAUACCGGUGGCGAAGGCGGCCCCCUGGACGAAGACUGACGCUCAGGUGCGAAAGCGUGGGGAGCAAACAGG